AAAGGGCCGGCGGUCACGUGGUCGGCGAGGGCGUGCUAUGGAGUUGCCCUCGGCGUUUAAGGGCGUUCUCCCUUCUCCCUCUCUCCGCCUCCUCUGGGUGACGGCACGUGCUUGCUCCUUUUUCGGUAGGCAAUCCUUUAUGGAGUAGCCUGUGCCGUGACUGAAAAGCCCUUCCGGAUGGAAUGCUGCUAAAGUCAGGCUGUUGUCCUACGCGCGCAUGUCCCUGGGAGUAAGAACCCAUUUGGGUCUACUUCUGAGUAAACAGGCAUAGGGUUUCAGGUCACUUUCAGGUUGUGUAGAGCAGAGGACAGGCAAGCUUUUUGGGAUGUGCGUGUUUGUGUGGUAUGAUCCAGUGUUUUGCUGUUACCUAUAAAGCUUCCACGGUCAGUCCGGGAAGUAACUUGGUUAAGAGCAAUGUUUCUUCCCCUGCAGAUUAUUCUAGAUUCCCCAAGCUUCCCCUGAAAAUCAAUUUCCUCAGGACAUUCGCAUGUUAUAAUGGUUUACCGCAAAAAGAUCCUCGUGCAUGAGUAGAUGGUAUUUCUGCUUAGCUGGGAGUUAGCAUUAUUUAUAUUAUAUUUAAUUGAUUUUUUACAAAACAUCUCGUUUUAAUAAUAUUUUGUAUUAAUUUUCACAAUGAACAUUACAUUAAAAAAAAUAAAAAGACAUAAAACAAUUAAAACAACUAUGUACACUCUUAAUAUUAAAUCCAUAUUUUGGGAUUCCUUUGAAUCCCCUGACUUCCCUCCCCUCCCUCCCCUGGUUCCUUUGUAUUAUUUUCAUUUAUGCAUGUCAACAAAGAAUCUUUUAUCUCUAAUUACCUCCUAAUUUAAACAUUGUCCAUAGCGUUACAAGUGUUUUAAAAAUCCUGCUAAUGUAUUUACUUCCUUACAUUGCUUUUGUAUAUAUGCAAUAAACAUUUCCCAUUUUUUAAA
Molecule: non-coding RNA, 932 nt
Organism: Podarcis muralis (Common wall lizard)
Lineage: Eukaryota; Metazoa; Chordata; Lepidosauria; Squamata; Lacertidae
Source: RefSeq, a predicted model, not a curated record